This is a non-coding RNA of Ciona intestinalis (vase tunicate), 1049 nucleotides long. The record is from RefSeq and is a predicted model, not a curated record. NCBI's taxonomy places the organism in Eukaryota, Metazoa, Chordata, Ascidiacea, Phlebobranchia, Cionidae.
AUAUCGCAGAAAAGAAAUCGAAAUAGACACUACGAACAGCGGAAGAGAAACCUGAACAUUUACAUUGACAAUUUACACCUGUGGAAACACAUAGCAGCUUGGAUGUAGAGGUAAUGUGGAAAUGCGAGUGGGGAAACGCGCAAACCUUUUUUUCGCACGGUACCACCUCCGCCCGAGGCGUUUGCAUUCUGUUGUCGCCACAACAGAAUUGCGGACUGUACAUCAUACAGAGAGCGAUACUGAAGGAAUAUUCCUGAUCGCCUCAAUUUCGGCAGGACCAAAACGGCUUACACUGGCAAAUGUAUACGGACCAAACUCCGAUAACCAAAUUUUUUUUUGAUUCGUUUUUUGGGAUAAUAAACGACUAUUUAGAUAACGACGCUAUAAUAGGAGGAGAUUUUAACGCAGUUAUGUCAAAUGAUCUAGACAAAUCACCGGGCAACAAACACGCAAAUGCAGUUCGGAAAUUAAGAACUAUAUGAAAGAGUUCGAUCUGUUUGAUAUAUUUAGGGAAUUAAACCCGAGGCAGCGGAGAUUUUCCCGCGUCCAACAAAAUCCGUUCACCGGAAGUCGCAUCGAUUUUUUUCUUGUUUCAGAAGGUCUAACACCACAUAUAAAAACUGUGAUAUAGAACCCAGUAUUAAAUCGGAUCACAGACUUGUUGUUUUAAACAUAAGCCCGGAGUUUAAAGCAAACGGCCCAGGGUAUUGGAAACUAAAUAACAGCCUUUUAGACGACCCCCAAUUCAUAAAUCACUUGAAAUCCGAAAUCCGCGCUUUCCUAACGAUCAAUGAAACUCUCAGAUGUAUCACCGCAUAUAAUCUGGGAUAGUAUAAAGUGCUGGUUGCGAGGGAAAUUUAUUAAACAUGCCGCCGAGAAAAGAACAUCGCAAACCAAAGAAAUAGAUCGAAUAGAAAAAUUAGCAACCCAGCGGCGCAUUGAUACGAUAUUGGAAGGCAAAACGAGGGCAGCUAUCGUGCUUAGCCGAACAAACUAGGCCGAAAACGGGGAAAAAAUACAAAAUAUUUUUUAAGCCUGGAAAAGAGAAA